This 316-nucleotide ribosomal RNA is filed under the name Clostridioides difficile. Its description in RNAcentral is "bacterial LSU rRNA". It matches the Rfam family "Bacterial large subunit ribosomal RNA", at positions 1845 to 2160 of the family's 2925-position model. The record is from RNAcentral. Lineage: Bacteria; Bacillati; Bacillota; Clostridia; Peptostreptococcales; Peptostreptococcaceae.
AUAGGAGCUGACGCCUGCCCGGUGCUGGAAGGUUAAGGGGAUCUGUUAGAGCAAUCGAAGCAGUGAACUUAAGCCCCAGUAAACGGCGGCCGUAACUAUAACGGUCCUAAGGUAGCGAAAUUCCUUGUCGGGUAAGUUCCGACCCGCACGAAAGGCGUAACGAUUUGGGCACUGUCUCAACAACAGACUCGGUGAAAUUGUAAUUCCGGUGAAGAUGCCGGAUACCUGCGACAGGACGGAAAGACCCCAUGGAGCUUUACUGUAGCUUGACAUUGGGUCUUGGUACUACAUGUACAGGAUAGGUGGGAGGCUUUGA